Molecule: non-coding RNA, 106 nt
Organism: Capsicum annuum
Lineage: Eukaryota; Viridiplantae; Streptophyta; Magnoliopsida; Solanales; Solanaceae
Source: Rfam
ACUUCUUGGUUAGGGCAUUUCAUGAUAUUUUCAUUAAACCUUUCCCAUACUUCAUACAAAGUCUCCCUAUUGAUUUGACAAAAAAUUAUAAUUUUGUUUCACAAUU